AUUGAACGCUGGCGGCAGGCUUAACACAUGCAAGUCGAGCGGAGAUGAGGUGCUUGCACCUUAUCUUAGCGGCGGACGGGUGAGUAAUGCUUAGGAAUCUGACUAUUAGUGGGGGACAACAUUCCGAAAGGAAUGCUAAUACCGCAUACGUCCUACGGGAGAAAGCAGGGGAUCUUCGGACCUAGCGCUAAUAGAUGAACCUAAGUCGGAUUAGCUAGUUGGUGGGGUAAAGGCCUACCAAGGCGACGAUCUGUAGCGGGUCUGCGAGGAUGAUCCGCCACACUGGGACUGAGACACGGACCAGACUCCUACGGGAGGCAGCAGUGGGGAAUAUUGGACAAUGGGGGAAACCCUGAUCCAGCCAUGCCGCGUGUGUGAAGAAGGCCUUAUGGUUGUAAAGCACUUUAAGCGAGGAGGAGGCUACUGAGACUAAUACUCUUGGAUAGUGGACGUUACUCGCAGAAUAAGCACCGGCUAACUCUGUGCCAGCCGCCGCCGUAA
RNAcentral lists this ribosomal RNA (501 nucleotides) under uncultured bacterium. RNAcentral describes it as "partial 16S ribosomal RNA". It matches the Rfam family "Bacterial small subunit ribosomal RNA", at positions 30 to 523 of the family's 1533-position model. The record is from RNAcentral.